AUAUAUAUAUUUUGUAUACCAACAUUCUUAUUUAAAGGGUUUUAUAGAGAAAAAUCGCAAGUCUUCAAAAGAAGACAGUCAAGUCUUUUUUUUACUAGCUCACGCAAUGGUUCACAGGUGUGUAGAAAUAUAAAAGUGUGCACACAAUGAGCAACAACUUCUUUAUUCUUUAAUGAUCCUUCCGCAGGUUCACCUACGGAAA
This 202-nucleotide unclassified non-coding RNA is filed under the name uncultured fungus. Its description in RNAcentral is "sequence contains ITS1". The record is from RNAcentral. Lineage: Eukaryota; Fungi.